CCUACGGGCGGCAGCAGUGGGGAAUUUUGCGCAAUGGGCGAAAGCCUGACGCAGCGACGCCGCGUGAGGGAUGAAGGUCUUCGGAUCGUAAACCUCUGUCAGCAGGGAAGAAAGUUCAUUGAGGUAACCGUCUGUGUAUUGACGGUACCUGCAAAGGCAGCACCGGCUAACUCCGUGCCAGCAGCCGCGGUAAUACGGAGGGGGCGAGCGUUAUUCGGAUUUACUGGGCGUAAAGAGCACGUAGGCGGUGUGUCAAGUCAUGGGUGAAAGCCCCGCGCUCAACGUGGGAAAGGCCUUUGAAACUGGCAAACUGGAGUGUGUGAGAGGAGAGUGGAAUUCCAGGUGUAGGGGUGAAAUCCGUAGAUAUCAGGAGGAACAUCAGUAGCGAAGGCGACUAUCUGGCACGUAACUGACGCUGAGGAGCGAAAGCGUGGGUAGCAAACAGGAUUAGAUACCCCUGUAGUC
RNAcentral lists this ribosomal RNA (465 nucleotides) under uncultured bacterium. Its description in RNAcentral is "partial 16S ribosomal RNA". It matches the Rfam family "Bacterial small subunit ribosomal RNA", at positions 338 to 795 of the family's 1533-position model. The record is from RNAcentral.